Drosophila melanogaster (fruit fly) is the source of this 567-nucleotide non-coding RNA. NCBI's taxonomy places the organism in Eukaryota, Metazoa, Arthropoda, Insecta, Diptera, Drosophilidae. The record is from Ensembl.
CGCUAUUUGCUCAUGCAACUGUGCAGACACUUUGCAACGAAUAGCAAUCAAUCGAUUUAUCCUGCCGUUUAGUACAUAUUUUACAACAUCAGCCCCCGAAGAGUGUCCCUUUUGGUUGGCGAGUUGCAACCUCUUCUGAACCUUAACAAAUAGCGACGAAAAUUGCAACAAAUGUGUUACGAAUGGUUCGUGAUCGUGGCAUGACAGAAUGUCGCCGGCAACAACAGCAAAAGCGAGCUGAACUGGAGAAUUGUGGACCAAUGAGGAAAUCGUUACCUUGGCUUAAACCACUUAAACAUCACGAGUUGAACUCUUAACAGCCUGGGACUCCAGUCCAAACUUUGGGCCGUUGCUGGGAGAAGACUUUUGCCGCGCUCCACUGAUGUAGAUGAGGAGGAGAUGACGACGACGACAACAAAGAAGUUGACAACAGCAACAGUCUAACAACAACUGCAGUUACACCAGGGAAAAAGUUUAUGCCAUAAUAAUAAUUCUUUGAAAACAAACUUUAAACAGAGAUCAAUAUAAUUUAUCCCCUAUAUGACUAAACUAAAAUCAAGAAUGGAU